UGAUACGCGAGGAACCUUACCUGGGCUUGAACUGUAGGUGAUGUAUGCAGAGAUGCAUACUUCCGUAAGGACACUUACGGAGGUGCUGCAUGGCUGUCGUCAGCUCGUGCCGUGAGGUGUCGGGUUAAGUCCCAUAACGAGCGCAACCCCUAUCACUAGUUGCCAUCGCAAUCAGGCGGGGACUCUAGUGAGACUGCCACCGUAAGGUGAGAGGAAGGUGGGGAUGACGUCAAGUCAGCACGGCCCUUAUGUCCAGGGCUACACACGUGUUACAAUGGUCGGUACAGCGAGUAGCGAGGCAGUGAUGCUGAGCGGAUCUGUAAAACCGGUCGUAGUUCGGAUCGGAAUCUGCAACUCGAUUCCGUGAAGGUGGAUUCGCUAGUAAUCGCGCAUCAGCCACGGCGCGGUGAAUACGUUCCCGGGCCUUGUACACACCGCCC
RNAcentral lists this ribosomal RNA (440 nucleotides) under uncultured bacterium. Its description in RNAcentral is "bacterial SSU rRNA". It matches the Rfam family "Bacterial small subunit ribosomal RNA", at positions 955 to 1395 of the family's 1533-position model. The record is from RNAcentral.